CCACAGGGCUCCGAAGAAACCCGGCCAGUUAAGUAUUCUGGGGUGUUACAGUAGGAAGGUGUAAGUUUUCCAAACUCUCUGGUAGCAGCUGUUUGCUGUUCUUGUCUCAGCCCUUCUGCUUAUGAACGAAUGGUGGGAUUUGGGCCAAUGGUUUGAAGCUACGAUGCCAGGCUCUUGACAAUGUGGCAGCUUCCAAACUAAUCCUCCUCCAGGAAAUGCUAACCCAGGCCUUCCUUCACCAAAGCUGUCUUGCUUCACACAGGAGAACGCUGGGGCCGCCGAUGUUCCCGAACAAAAAGUCAACCUCAGGGUCCGAAGGACGGUGGAGGAGCAGACCCUCACGGUUCGUGGCCCUGGGGCUCUGGGACUGCGGGAACCCCUCGUGGGACACCAUCCGAACAAUGGGGCAUACCCCGGGCCUCGCGGAGCAAGGAGAGUCAAGAAGCAAGAAUCUGACACGGUCAAUCUGGAUUUCACAUCCACCAGUGCUCAAAAGGGAGAAAAAGGCUCUCCUGGAAGCCAAGGCAGCAAAGGAGAAAAGGUACUUUUCAACCUAUUUGCACCUGUGCUGGUUGAAAAAAAGGACGUUCCCUCUGAAUCCCAGCAAAUCUUGGGAAAGUUACUUUUUUGGACUAGAACCCCAGAUUACAGAGGACAUGCUGGCUGGAUGUUUUCCAGAAGUUUUUGUCAUCCAAAAAA
This 699-nucleotide long non-coding RNA is filed under the name Pogona vitticeps (central bearded dragon). RNAcentral describes it as "lncRNA (ENSPVIG00000005895.1)". Lineage: Eukaryota; Metazoa; Chordata; Lepidosauria; Squamata; Agamidae. The record is from RNAcentral.